This 827-nucleotide long non-coding RNA is filed under the name Helianthus annuus (common sunflower). RNAcentral's name for it is "sRNA HanXRQr2_Chr16g0735311". Lineage: Eukaryota; Viridiplantae; Streptophyta; Magnoliopsida; Asterales; Asteraceae. The record is from RNAcentral.
UUGAAAGGACACAACCUUUUAGAUACCUUUUAGAUAAAGAGGUUAUACUAUUUUGUUUAAAACUCAGGAUUAAUACCCUUUCCAUAGAAAUGGCGUCUCUAAAUAAGGCCACACCUUUUUGUUCAUAAAUUGUGUCGGUUAGAAAAACUUUUUAGGCAACCAAAAUAACUGCAACCAUUUAGCCACCUUUGUCAAAGAAUCGCAAUAACUGCCACCCUUCCUCGCUACGGAAUCCCAAACGCCAGCAUGUUCAUUAUAUUCAAAUCCCCUUCAAAAAUAAUCCCAAAACCUUCCCCUAGUUUCACUCGACAUCAAAGAAGGGUCGAUUUCAAUGAACACUACAUCGGAAUCGUCGCGGUAUCAUGAUCUGACAAGGUGACCCUUCAAUGAACACUACAUCGGAAUCGUCGCGGUAUCAUGAUCUGACAAGGUUUCUGGUCACACACAUCGGUGCGAAAGUAAUCGCCAACGCACGCGCCGGUGACCGGAAUUAAUUUUAAACUUUUUCUAUCCCGGCAUCAACCUGUUUAUCAUAACGUGGGCCUAGCAAUUGACUCAUGAAUACAAUUCGCAUGUGUAUGCAUCAUCGAAAACAAUGAAUUUCAAUUGGAGUUUAUGAUGUGUGUAUGUAUAGAUACAAACAACAUGUAAGUCUUUGAUUGCCCCUUUGCAGAGGAAACUACUGUGUUUUUUGUAUGUGUGGUUUUAAGAGAGAAGAAGGAAUAAGGGAUUUCUUGGGUUGGUGCGAGUUACUUUGAUUUCUUGGAUCAUGUGUGUUUAUGAUCAUGGGAAUUUUUGAAAAAAAGGUCAGUUGAAAAUGUUUGUUG